UACGUAGGGGGCGAGCGUUGUCCGGAAUUAUUGGGCGUAAAGAGCGUGUAGGCGGCUUGGUAAGUCUGCCGUGAAACCCCGGGGCUCAACCCCGGGCGUGCGGUGGAUACUGCCAGGCUAGAGGAUGGUAGAGGCGAGUGGAAUUCCCGGUGUAGCGGUGAAAUGCGCAGAUAUCGGGAGGAACACCUGCGGCGAAGGCGGUCCUCUGGGCCUGUCCUGACGCUGAGGAGCGAAAGCGU
This 239-nucleotide ribosomal RNA is filed under the name uncultured bacterium. Its description in RNAcentral is "partial 16S ribosomal RNA". It matches the Rfam family "Bacterial small subunit ribosomal RNA", at positions 524 to 762 of the family's 1533-position model. The record is from RNAcentral.